GACGAACGCUGGCGGCGUGCUUAACACAUGCAAGUCGAACGGAAAGGCCCUGCUUUUGUGGGGUGCUCGAGUGGCGAACGGGUGAGUAACACGUGAGUAACCUGCCCUUGACUUUGGGAUAACUUCAGGAAACUGGGGCUAAUACCGGAUAGGAGCUCCUGCUGCAUGGUGGGGGUUGGAAAGUUUCGGCGGUUGGGGAUGGACUCGCGGCUUAUCAGCUUGUUGGUGGGGUAGUGGCUUACCAAGGCUUUGACGGGUAGCCGGCCUGAGAGGGUGACCGGGCACAGGGGGACUAAGAUACGGCCCGGACGGCAGCGGGAGGCAGCAGGGGGGAAGGUGGCAAAAUGGGCGGAGGCCUGAGGCAGCAUGGCCGCGUGCGGGAUGACGGCGUUCGGGUGGUAAACCAAUUUCGCCUGUGACGAGGCGUGAGUGACGGUAAUGGGUAAGGAAGGACCGGCUAACUACGUG
Molecule: ribosomal RNA, 468 nt
Filed under: uncultured bacterium
Lineage: Bacteria
Description: partial 16S ribosomal RNA
Rfam family: Bacterial small subunit ribosomal RNA
Source: RNAcentral